GAUGAACGCUGGCGGCGUGCCUAAUACAUGCAAGUCGAGCGAACAGACGAGGAGCUUGCUCCUCUGACGUUAGCGGCGGACGGGUGAGUAACACGUGGAUAACCUACCUAUAAGACUGGGAUAACUUCGGGAAACCGGAGCUAAUACCGGAUAAUAUAUUGAACCGCAUGGUUCAAUAGUGAAAGACGGUUUUGCUGUCACUUAUAGAUGGAUCCGCGCCGCAUUAGCUAGUUGGUAAGGUAACGGCUUACCAAGGCAACGAUGCGUAGCCGACCCGAGAGGGUGAUCGGCCACACUGGAACUGAGACACGGUCCAGACUCCUACGGGAGGCAGCAGUAGGGAAUCUUCCGCAAUGGGCGAAAGCUUGACGGAGCAACGCCGCGUGAGUGAUGAAGGUCUUCGGAUCGUAAAACUCUGUUAUUAGGGAAGAACAAAUGUGUAAGUAACUAUGCACGUCUUGACGGUACCUAAUCAGAAAGCCACGGCUAACUACGU
Molecule: ribosomal RNA, 496 nt
Filed under: uncultured bacterium
Lineage: Bacteria
Description: partial 16S ribosomal RNA
Rfam family: Bacterial small subunit ribosomal RNA
Source: RNAcentral